CAGCAGCCGCGGGAAUACGAAGGGUGCAAGCGUUAAUCGGAAUUACUGGGCGUAAAGCGUGCGUAGGCGGUUUGUUAAGUCUGUUGUGAAAUCCCCGGGCUCAACCUGGGAAUGGCAAUGGAUACUGGCAAGCUAGAGUGUGUCAGAGGAUGGUAGAAUUCCCGGUGUAGCGGUGAAAUGCGUAGAGAUCGGGAGGAACAUCAGUGGCGAAGGCGGCCAUCUGGGACAACACUGACGCUGAGGCACGAAAGCGUGGGGAGCAAACAGGAUUAGAUACCCCGGUAGUCCCUGUCUCUUAUAC
RNAcentral lists this ribosomal RNA (301 nucleotides) under uncultured bacterium. Its description in RNAcentral is "partial 16S ribosomal RNA". It matches the Rfam family "Bacterial small subunit ribosomal RNA", at positions 509 to 807 of the family's 1533-position model. The record is from RNAcentral.